CCCUUUUUCUUUUGUCGUUAUAACUCAAGCUGUAAAAGCAAGGUCCAGUGAUGAUCCAUACCCUUUUUCCAGUGUCAUGUUGAAGAUCUUUAUGUAGAAGGCCGUUCCAAAGGAACUCUUUUUGUGUGGUGGGGGAUGGGUUUUCAUUCUUCUUGCUCAGGCUGGAGUUCAAUGGCGUUAUCUUGGCUCACUGCAACCUCUGCCUCUUGGGUUCGUGUGAUUCUCCUACCUCAGCCUCCCGAGUAGGUGGGAUUACAGCGCCCACCAUCAUGCCAGCCUGAUUUUUGUAAUUUUAGUAGAGGCGGGGUUUCAGCAUGUUGGCCAGGCUGGUCUUGAACUCCUGACCUCAGAUGAUCCUCCUGCGUCAGCCUCCCAAAGUGCUGGGAUUACAGAUGUGAACCACCAUGCCCUGCCAGAAAUUUUUUUUAAGAAGACUGUCUACUAAUGGAAUUCCUGGCCUGGAGAGGAUAUUGCUGUCAAAGGAAUGGAUUCAUUUUUUUAUUAAAAGAGAUGAACUUAUGAAUUCAACAGGUGAAGAUUUACAACUUGAUAAAUCAGCUUUGUGAGCUCCAACUG
This 576-nucleotide long non-coding RNA is filed under the name Macaca mulatta (Rhesus monkey). Its description in RNAcentral is "lncRNA (ENSMMUG00000049696.1)". The record is from RNAcentral. Lineage: Eukaryota; Metazoa; Chordata; Mammalia; Primates; Cercopithecidae.